AUGGCCGCGGCGACGGGCCACCCGCGACCUGCGCGUGGCCGGCCCCACCAUCGCCAUCUUCAUCGACGCGCAAGAGGAUCUGGCCCUCCAGUGACGGCGCGGCGCCGUCGACUGGAUCUGCGGGCGGCGGCGACCCCCGAUUCCCCAGCCCCCACGGCAACCAGCUGGCCAUUCCCGCUUCCCGGGCCAUCGCGUUGGCAGUUUGGCACCUCACCAUCGUGCCUCAGCCCUCAGGCGGGAGUCGUCCCAGCAGCACGGACGUUGGUCCAACCCUCGGAUGCACCUUUGGGUUCACAAGUUAGAAUCCGCCGAGAUUCCACCCCAAGUCCAAGAUUCCACCGCCGGGAACGCGCUGAGGUGCGGUACCGAGCAUUUCCAACUGGGCUUAUUAUUGGUGCAUCGAUAGCCUCCCUUGCCGUGGUUCUCUUUUCUCUUUGGUUGUUCGCUGUUGUGAGGAGACGACGACGGGAAUCAAGAAUAUCAGUAGACAAUGCCCAGGGAGGUGCAAAUGGUGCUGGUGCUGAUAUUCGCUCCAAUCCUGCUUCGACUGUCCAGUCCGUCUGUGCAGUUGGUCUUCCUACUAUAACGGAGGCUACAGGAAAUUUCUCUGAAGAAAAUAUCAUCGGUGAGGGCGAAUAUAGUGUCGUCUAUAAGGGGCAGCUACACGAUGAUACAAUAGUUGCUGUGAAGAGGCUGAAACACUAUCGUCUUACUAAUAAAGGCAGGGAACAUUUCUCAAGGGAAGUGGAAAUGAUGUCAAAGCUCAUGCAUGCCAAUCUUGCUAAGCUCCUCUGGUAUUGCCAGGAAGGAGACGAGUGGAUAUUAGUCUAUGAGUGGAUGGAGCGCCAGAGUUUGAAUCUCUACAUUUUUGGGGAAGAAAACGGAUUCCGUUCCUCACUGAAUUGGUCGCAAAGACUGGGAGUAAUUCAUGGGAUUGCCGUAGGCGUUAAAUUUCUUCACGCAGAAGGAUUCAUUCACAGGGAUCUAAAACCUGGCAAUAUACUUGUCAGUGACACGUGGCAUCCCAAGAUAGCGGACUUUGCCACCACGAAGCUGUUUAUCGAUGAGCAGACAAAUCCGACACUAGUACUGACGCCGGGACAUGUCGCUCCGGAGUAUUCAUCGGAAGGGGCCCUGACGUACAAGUGUGAUGUAUAUAGUUUUGAAGUCCUGUUGUUGGAGAUAGUCAGUGGAAAAAGGAGAACAAGCAUUCAAACUUUCCUUCUUCAUGUAAGUCUGCUCAUGACAAAACAUACUCCUCCCUUAUGCAUCCUCUUAAUUUCUUCCCACUGA
RNAcentral lists this ribosomal RNA (1293 nucleotides) under Triticum aestivum (bread wheat). RNAcentral's name for it is "partial small subunit ribosomal RNA". The record is from RNAcentral. Lineage: Eukaryota; Viridiplantae; Streptophyta; Magnoliopsida; Poales; Poaceae.